AACGAACGCUGGCGGCAUGCCUAACACAUGCAAGUCGAACGAGACCUUCGGGUCUAGUGGCGCACGGGUGCGUAACGCGUGGGAACCUGCCCUUAGGUUCGGAAUAACUCCCCGAAAGGGGUGCUAAUACCGGAUAAUGUCUUCGGCCCAAAGAUUUAUCGCCUUUGGAUGGGCCCGCGUUGGAUUAGCUAGUUGGUAGGGUAAAAGCCUACCAAGGCGACGAUCCAUAGCUGGUCUGAGAGGAUGAUCAGCCACACUGGGACUGAGACACGGCCCAGACUCCUACGGGAGGGAGCAGUGGGGAAUAUUGGACGAUGGGCGAAAGCCUGAUCCAGCAAUGCCGCGUGAGUGAUGAAGGCCUUAGGGUGGUAAAGCUCUUUUACCCGGGAUGAUAAUGACAGUACCGGGAGAAUAAGCUCCGGCUACCUCCGU
This 432-nucleotide ribosomal RNA is filed under the name uncultured bacterium. RNAcentral's name for it is "partial 16S ribosomal RNA". It matches the Rfam family "Bacterial small subunit ribosomal RNA", at positions 29 to 506 of the family's 1533-position model. The record is from RNAcentral.